RNAcentral lists this non-coding RNA (73 nucleotides) under uncultured eukaryote. The record is from RNAcentral.
CGUCUCUAUUGGACAGCCCCCACGGUGAACGUGAGGGCGGUGACCGCGAGAGCAGCGGCGGUCGCACUGGACA